AGGAUGAACGCUGGCGGUCUGCUUAACACAUGCAAGUCGAACGGAGUACCUCGGUACUUAGUGGCGGACGGGUGAGUAACGCGUGAGAAUCUGCCCUUAGGUCGGGGACAACCAUUGGAAACGAUGGCUAAUACCGGAUAAGCCGAGAGGUAAAAAGAUUAAUUGCCUAGGGAAGAGCUCGCGUCUGAUUAGCUAGUUGGUGAGGUAAAGGCUCACCAAGGCAUCGAUCAGUAGCUGGUCUGAGAGGAUGAUCAGCCACACUGGGACUGAGACACGGCCCAGACUCCUACGGGAGGCAGCAGUGGGGAAUUUUCCGCAAUGGGCGAAAGCCUGACGGAGCAAGACCGCGUGGGGAAGAAGGCUCUUGGGUUGUAAACCCCUUUUCUCUGGGAAGAACGCAAUGACGGUACCAGAGGAAUCAGCAUCGGCUAACUCCGUGCCAGCAGCCGC
This 450-nucleotide ribosomal RNA is filed under the name uncultured bacterium. RNAcentral's name for it is "SSU rRNA". It matches the Rfam family "Bacterial small subunit ribosomal RNA", at positions 26 to 518 of the family's 1533-position model. The record is from RNAcentral.